UCUGGCUGGUGCACUGCCUCGUCACUAGUUUGAUAGUGGAUACGAGAAAGAAGGUCGGGUCACGCUGGCCACAGAGUCCAUGUGAGUCCUCCAGGUCGUCCUCUUUUAGAGGACGUACGUAGAUCGCGGAGGCAUGUGGUCCGGCGGAAGUAGAGGCUGGGCAGUUUCAACCCGUUCAUUGGAGGAGCGUAUUGGAUAUCAGUAUUUGUUCAGUCUUGGUGUUAAAGGUCCUGCCAAUACUGACUACUGAAGGGAGGCCAGUACUGAAGGGAGAACCAAACCAGCGUGUCCUGACAACCUCUAACCUGACAACAUGCAGCGCCUUCCAGAGAGGAAUGACACUGCCUCGCACCAGCUCUGACCUGACAACACGCAGCGUCAUCCAGGGAGGGAGGACACAAUUCCUCGCUGCCCCUUCCCUGAAAACACGGCGUCAUCCAGGGAGGGAGGACAGUCUCGCACUGACCUGUCUCUCUGCCCCUUCCCUGAUAACGCACAGCGUCAUCC
Molecule: unclassified non-coding RNA, 507 nt
Filed under: Portunus trituberculatus (swimming crab)
Lineage: Eukaryota; Metazoa; Arthropoda; Malacostraca; Decapoda; Portunidae
Description: uncharacterized LOC123514703, transcript variant X4
Source: RNAcentral